ACGAACGCUGGCGGCGUGCUUAACACAUGCAAGUCGAACGCUGAAGACCUGGCUUUUGUUGGGUUGGAUGAGUGGCGAACGGGUGAGUAACACGUGAGUAACCUGCCCUCUUCUUUGGGAUAACGCCCGGAAACGGGUGCUAAUACUGGAUAUUCACUGAUCUUCGCAUGGGGGUUGGUGGAAAGGUUUGUUCUGGUGGGGGAUGGGCUCGCGGCCUAUCAGCUUGUUGGUGGGGUGAUGGCCUACCAAGGCUUUGACGGGUAGCCGGCCUGAGAGGGUGACCGGUCACAUUGGGACUGAGAUACGGCCCAGACUCCUACGGGAGGCAGCAGUGGGGAAUAUUGCACAAUGGGCGAAAGCCUGAUGCAGCGACGCCGCGUGAGGGAUGGAGGCCUUCGGGUUGUAAACCUCUUUCGCUCAUGGUCAAGCCGCAACUGUGGGUUGUGGUGAGGGUAGUGGGUAAAGAAGCGCCGGCUAACUACGUG
Molecule: ribosomal RNA, 485 nt
Filed under: uncultured bacterium
Lineage: Bacteria
Description: partial 16S ribosomal RNA
Rfam family: Bacterial small subunit ribosomal RNA
Source: RNAcentral